RNAcentral lists this ribosomal RNA (494 nucleotides) under uncultured bacterium. RNAcentral's name for it is "partial 16S ribosomal RNA". It matches the Rfam family "Bacterial small subunit ribosomal RNA", at positions 28 to 507 of the family's 1533-position model. The record is from RNAcentral.
GACGAACGCUGGCGGCGUGCUUAACACAUGCAAGUCGAACGGUGAAGCGCCUUCCUUUUUGGUGGGUGUGGAGGAGUGGCGAACGGGUGAGUAACACGUGAGUAACCUGCCCCCUUCUUCUGGAUAACCGCAUGAAAGUGUGGCUAAUACGGGAUAUUCUGGGUCUGUCGCAUGAUGGGUCUGGGAAAGAUAUUGUUUCGGUGGGGGAUGGGCUCGCGGCCUAUCGGCUUGUUGGUGGGGUGAUGGCCUACCAAGGCGGUGCGGGGUAGCCGGCCUGAGAGGGUGAACGGCCACACUGGGAAUGCGACACGGCCCAGACUCCUACGGGAGGCAGCAGUGGGGAAUAUUGCACGAUGGGAGCAAGCCUGAUGCAGCGACGCCGCGGGAGGGAUGGAGGCCUUCGGGUUGUGAACCUCUUUCGCCAGUGAAGCAGGCCUGCCUCGUUUGUGGGUGGGUUGACGGUAGCUGGAUAAGAAGCGCCGGCUAACUACGUG